Long non-coding RNA from Acinonyx jubatus (cheetah), 3324 nucleotides. RefSeq lists it as uncharacterized. The record is from RefSeq and is a predicted model, not a curated record. NCBI's taxonomy places the organism in Eukaryota, Metazoa, Chordata, Mammalia, Carnivora, Felidae. The transcript has 3 exons.
UAUAGCUACUGAGCACCGCUGCUCCAGGUAGGAGCAUGAAUAGUGCUUCUUUCAACACAACCUGUGGCAAGUUCAAUGGAGCUGUGAGUUCAAGAUCAUGCUCUGUGAGAGGUGCCCUGAGUACAGCUCCUCUGAGCUGCUGGGGAAGUCCUAAGUCAAGUGCUAUAAAUCACAGUGCUGUUCAACCUUGGCCACACAUAAGAACCACCUGGGGAAGUUUUCAACCCAUGCUCCCCAACCCCAGGCCCAGCCCUCCCCCCCUCCCCCGACCAAUUAAAUCCGAGCUUGCGGGAUGAGAACACAGGUGUCUGCGUUUCAAGGCUCCCGAGGUGAUCUCAGUAUGUGCUGCCGGUGUGAGGCACAGGACUGUAAAACUGAGCACUUUCUCUGAGCCAGAGCUGGUAUUGAAUGUAGAGACACAGAGAUGAGCAAAGGUCCCAGAAGGGAGCGGACUGCACAGUAAGUGCGGAAACUGGCUAUCAUGGCUGUGGGACUGCCAAGUCUAAAAUCCACAAGGCAGGGCUGGAAACAAGCAGGAGUCGGUGCUACAGGCUUGAGAAGGCAUUUCUUCUUCCCCAGGAAACCCCAGUUUUUGCUCUUAAGGCCUUCAACUGAUUGGAUAAGGCCCACCCACACUACAAGAGGAGGCGAAUGGGACCUUGAAUUGUAAUCUUGGAAGAAGCUGCUGCAAGACACACAUCUGAGCGGUCCUAGCUAAACUUCUUGGCACUACUGCCCCACUCCAGACCCAAAGAUCAGGGAGCAGGACAGGCCCCAGAGAGAGACCAGACUUGAGAUUUUCUUCUGAGAGCACCAAAAGAGUGAGGAUUAUCUUGGAAUUGCUGUAGAAUUCUGGUGGCAGAAUCACAGGCUCUCCAAGCUGAAAGGUCACUUAGAUGUUCCCCCACCCUCUGAAAUUCAUGAGAAUGUCACGUAUCACAGAACACUCCACCAGAAGGGUUUUUAAACAAAGUCUGGCAGUCGAAAAACUCAAGAGGACUGUUGGAGAUCCGACAAAAGCAACAUGACGUAAAUCUCUGGGCAAGGAGGCAGAAGCCUUGAUCACAUGAUGGCUCGGCUGCUGAUUUACCACUUGACCUUGAACAAAUCUUUCCUGGACGACCUUGAGCAAGCUUGCUCUCCAGGCACUGGUUUUCCCACCUGAAAACGAGGAGUGGGCAACUUGACUUGGAAAGUCUUCUCUGGUUGUUGUGACUCCCCGCCUCCCGAGUCUGGUAUCUAACAUGUUCUAGCUCCAUGGCCUUGGACGUAUCACUUAACCUCCUUAACCUCUGUUUCAUUAUCUGCAAAAUGGGGGAAUCAUAAUCCCUUCCUUGCUCGUCUUGUAUACUUGCUGUGGGGAUGGAAUGAGAGGUGUGAGGUUACCCUGGGUGAAGUACAAAGUGCUAUUCACAUCUAAUGUAUUAUUGCAAGGUGAAAUAUCAUUGUAUGAUGUAUCUAGGGUAUCUGAAGCUGCACAAGCCCCUACAAGACCCAAUUUGUCCCCAAUUCACAGGGGACAAAGGGCACGGGGGUUAAAGGCUCUGGAGCCAGACUACCUGGGUUCGUGGCUUACCUCUGCCAAGUUUCCUCAUGAGUGAAAUGGAAUAAUAAUAGCUCAUGUGAAGCCCAGGGCAGAGCCUGGCGUGUGGCAUGGGCUCCAUCCACGUCGGUGAUUAUCGUGAUCAUUCUAUCAUGAAGCAAAGGAGGCAGGGUGGGGCCAUGAGAGGACCGGUGGCUUUUGAAUACACCAGACCCAGCUGGGUUCAAGUCUCAGUUCUACCAUUACCAGGUGAAUCAUACACGUGGCCACAUUCUACAUCCACUGUCUUCUUUUUUGCUCUCCUCUGAUGGCUCCUGGGUCCAGUGCUUGUCCAUUUUCCCUCUCUUUUGGGGCUGGACACUUGGUUACCCACGUUGAUUGAUUGAUUCAUGGACUGCUUGAUCCAGAAGAGAUGCCUGGAAAAUAUUGGAAUUCACUAGCAUGAAAGGCUCCUCUGUAUUUUAAUGUGUGGAUAAUUUGAAAGAUGUCUUUAAUCCUUUCUGGAAGUAUCUGCUAUAAAAUGGCAUAGAUGGACUAAAUACCAGUGCCCUUGCUUUGGGCUUGAAUUCUGUUUCUGUCUGUCUAUCCAUCAACUCUUUCUUUUACAACCACACUACUUGUAUCAUAUCAAUCAAAGUUCUGAUUGAAUGUAAUAAUGUGGACCUAAUUCAUAUGAAAGAGAAGACAAAAUAUAAUAAAUGCAGCAUUUGGUGGUCAAAUCUUUAUAGAAAAGCCUUUGUGGAGAAAGAUUGGGAACUACUCACUUGUUCUAAAUGUUAGGGUUUAACCAGUGAGUAAGUCGGAAGCCCGGAUUAUUCAAAGUUAUCCAGAGAGGGAAAAACCAAGCUUACGUUAAGUUCAUAGAAUGAAAUAACAGUUGUCAGAAGGAACUUAGAGACCCUCGAUAUUUGCUCAGGGCCAUCACACCCGGUGCAUUAACCCACCAUCGCAGUCACCUGUCGAUCGAGGAGUCUGUCCCUCCAAUCCCACCUGCCAGCUCUGGACCAGACAUUUUUUGAGCCCAGAGGCUGUCUUACUCAUCUUCACGGUGCCUCUCUCUCUCUCUCUCUGCUGCCCACCUCCUCUCUCUCUCACACAGUGCCCGCCUGCAGCAUGUUUCCCGAAAAGGCUGCUGAAUCUUCAAAUGUGAGUAAAGCACCACUUUAACAGAUGGGGAGCCCGCAUUUUGGAGGAGAGAAGAGGGCCCCACCUACGGUUCCGCAGCAAGUCUGGGGGGAGGGCCAGGAGGAUCCCCUGUGUCUCCGUGUAGUCGCUCUUCUACCCUCCUGAACUCCAAGAGGGGGACAGGCUCUUGCCUUCUCUCAUUUCCUCACAAAAGCCACAGGUAAAGGCGUUUAUGGCCUGGCAGCUAACCAAGACCAUGGUUCUUCAAUAGGUCACGGUCUGACCCCACCAAAUGUUGUUGCCGUUGUCUUUAAUUUUUAAAUGGUGUUAACAGUCAUGCCUUCUACUAUAAUUUGGAAACUCUCCGGCACCUCAUGCCGGGGACAUUAUAAACUGACCCCCAAGUUCAGGCAAUGAAACACAGACCCACCUAGCUGGUCACCUGGCUUCAAGGUGAAAGUAACUUUACUAUAGUUAUUUCCAAAAAUUGUAUUACAAUAAUAAUUACUCAUAUUUGUGAAAUGCAUUUCUUCUUUGUUCAAGCACGUUCAUAUACCCCCAGCUUAUCUAGCAUUAGUGCUGUGCUUUUCAAGUAGGUGAUUUUACUGUGUAGGAAUUACAUAUGCCUCAAUGAAGCUUUUUUUUUUUUUUUUUUU